RNAcentral lists this ribosomal RNA (253 nucleotides) under uncultured bacterium. RNAcentral's name for it is "partial 16S ribosomal RNA". It matches the Rfam family "Archaeal small subunit ribosomal RNA", at positions 474 to 727 of the family's 1478-position model. The record is from RNAcentral.
UACCAGCACCCCGAGUGGUCGGGACGAUUAUUGGGCAUAAAGCAUCCGUAGCCGGUUCUGCAAGUCCCCCGUUAAAUCCAGCUGCUCAACAGAUGGGCCGCGGAGGAUACUACAGAGCUAGGAGGCAGGAGAGGCAAGCGGUACUCAGUGGGUAGGGGUAAAAUCCGUUGAUCCAUUGAAGACCACCAGUGGCGAAGGCGGCUUGCCAGAAUGCGCUCGACGGUGAGGGAUGAAAGCUGGGGGAGCAAACCGG